UACGGAGGGUGCAAGCGUUAUCCGAAUUCACUGGGUUUAAAGGGUGCGUAGGUGGGCAAGUAAGUCAGUGGUGAAAUCUCCGGGCUUAACCCGGAAACUGCCAUUGAUACUAUUUGUCUUGAAUACUGUGGAGGUCAGCGGAAUAUGUCAUGUAGCGGUGAAAUGCUUAGAUAUGACAUAGAACACCAAUUGCGAAGGCAGCUGGCUACACAAAUAUUGACACUGAGGCACGAAAGCGUGGGGAUCAAACAGG
RNAcentral lists this ribosomal RNA (253 nucleotides) under uncultured bacterium. Its description in RNAcentral is "partial 16S ribosomal RNA". It matches the Rfam family "Bacterial small subunit ribosomal RNA", at positions 524 to 776 of the family's 1533-position model. The record is from RNAcentral.